This 292-nucleotide ribosomal RNA is filed under the name uncultured bacterium. RNAcentral's name for it is "partial 16S ribosomal RNA". It matches the Rfam family "Bacterial small subunit ribosomal RNA", at positions 505 to 796 of the family's 1533-position model. The record is from RNAcentral.
GUGCCAGCCGCCGCGGUAAUACGUAGGAUGCAAGCGUUAUCCGGAUUCACUGGGCUUAGAGCGCGUGUAGGUGGUGGGGUAAGUCUGUGAUUAAAUCUCCUGGCUCAACCGGGAGCAUGUCAUGGAUACUGCCUUACUGGAGGUCAGACGGGGAAAGUGGAAUUCCCGGUGUAGGGGUAAAAUCCGUUGAUAUCGGGAGGAACGCCUGAGGUGAAGACGACUUUCUAGACUGAUCCUGACACUGAGACGCGAAAGCCAGGGGAGCGAAAGGGAUUAGAAACCCCGGUAGUCC